CAAACCGACACAGGUGGUCAGGUAGAGAAUACCAAGGCGCUUGAGAGAACUCGGGUGAAGGAACUAGGCAAAAUGGUGCCGUAACUUCGGGAGAAGGCACGCUGGCAUGUAGGUGAAGUCCUUCGCGGAUGGAGCUGAAGCCAGUCGAAGAUACCAGCUGGCUGCAACUGUUUAAUAAAAACACAGCACUGUGCAAACACGAAAGUGGACGUAUACGGUGUGACGCCUGCCCGGUGCUGGAAGGUUAAUUGAUGGGGUCAGCCGCAAGGCGAAGCUCUUGAUCGAAGCCCCAGUAAACGGCGGCCGUAACUAUAACGGUCCUAAGGUAGCGAAAUUCCUUGUCGGGUAAGUUCCGACCUGCACGAAUGGCGUAAUGAUGGCCAGGCUGUCUCCACCCGAGACUCAGUGAAAUUGAACUCGCUGUGAAGAUGCAGUGUACCCGCGGCAAGACGGAAAGACCCCGUGAACCUUUACUAUAGCUUGACACUGAACAUUGAGCCUUGAUGUGUAGGAUAGGUGGGAGGCUUUGAAGCGUGGACGCCAGUCUGCGUGGAGCCAUCCUUGAAAUACCACCCUUUAAUGUUUGAUGUUCUAACUCGGCCCCAUAAUCUGGGGUGAGGACAGUGUCUGGUGGGUAGUUUGACUGGGGCGGUCUCCUCCCAAAGAGUAACGGAGGAGCACGAAGGUUAGCUAAUCACGGUCGGACAUCGUGAGGUUAGUGCAAAGGCAUAAGCUAGCUUGACUGCGAGAGUGACGGCUCGAGCAGGUACGAAAGUAGGUCUUAGUGAUCCGGUGGUUCUGAAUGGAAGGGCCAUCGCUCAACGGAUAAAAGGUACUCCGGGGAUAACAGGCUGAUACCGCCCAAGAGUUCAUAUCGACGGCGGUGUUUGGCACCUCGAUGUCGGCUCAUCACAUCCUGGGGCUGAAGUAGGUCCCAAGGGUAUGGCUGUUCGCCAUUUAAAGUGGUACGCGAGCUGGGUUUAGAACGUCGUGAGACAGUUCGGUCCCUAUCUGCCGUGGGCGUUGGAAGAUUGAGAGGGGUUGCUCCUAGUACGAGAGGACCGGAGUGAACGCACCACUGGUGUUCGGGUUGUCAUGCCAAUGGCAUUGCCCGGUAGCUAAGUGCGGAAAAGAUAAGCGCUGAAAGCAUCUAAGCGCGAAACUUGCCUCAAGAUGA
This 1177-nucleotide ribosomal RNA is filed under the name Serratia marcescens. RNAcentral's name for it is "partial 23S ribosomal RNA". It matches the Rfam family "Bacterial large subunit ribosomal RNA", at positions 1649 to 2807 of the family's 2925-position model. Lineage: Bacteria; Pseudomonadati; Pseudomonadota; Gammaproteobacteria; Enterobacterales; Yersiniaceae. The record is from RNAcentral.